RNAcentral lists this long non-coding RNA (442 nucleotides) under Mus spicilegus (steppe mouse). Its description in RNAcentral is "lncRNA (ENSMSIG00000015488.1)". Lineage: Eukaryota; Metazoa; Chordata; Mammalia; Rodentia; Muridae. The record is from RNAcentral.
AGAGCUGAGUCACGGCCGGGAAACAGGAGCACGGAGACUCCGAGAAGCAUCUGAGAAGCGUGCAUUCUCAGGCUCUGGUACCUAAUCACUGCAUUGUGUGGUUGAUAUCAGAAGCAACUAUGAGACCAAAACAGGAACAUGAACAAUACACCUCGCAAGUUAAUGGGAAACUAAAACAGGAAAAAUACACCUUGCAAGUUAAGGAUUCCAUUUGCAAUUAAGACAGUUAAGAAUAUGUUCCGGUGGGGCUGGUGAGAUGACUCAGCGGGUAAGAGCACUGAUUGCCCUUCCGAAGGUCCUGAGUUCAAAUCUCAGCAACCACAUGGUGGCUCACAACCACCUGUAAUGAGAUCUGAUACGUCUUCUGUCUUCUGGUGCGUCUGAAGACAGCUACAGUGUACUUAUGUAUUAUAAUAAAUAAAGCUUUGGGCCGGAGUGAGCA